CUCUCUCUCUCUCUCUCUCUCGUUCAACCCCUUUAUUUGCUAUCCCUUUGCACUCACAACCCUGAUCGGUCCCGGCCAGUUAGGGCACCAACAUGCCCCUCUUUAUCUCCGACGAUGAGCUCGCACGUCACUCCAACGACGUUUCGUACGUUGCGGCUAAGGCUGAUGAUUUCAUCAGAGGUUUACAAGCAGAGCUGGAGACCGUGAAGGCUGCGGCGGAUGCAGCCGCAAUCACGGCGGAGCAGACUUGCUCGCUACUCGAGCAGAAAUUCCUGUCUUUGUCGAGUGAAUUCUCGAAGCUCGAAUCUCAAAACGCACAACUUCAGUCGUCGCUGGAUGAUCGUCUAUCAGAGCUCGCUGAAGUCCAGGCUCAGAAGCAUCAGCUACAUUUGCAAUCUAUUGGAAAGGAUGGUGAGAUAGAGAGGAUGACAAUGGAGGUCUCAGAGCUGCAUAAGUCGAAGAGGCAGUUGAUUGAGUUGAUGGAGCUGAAGGAUUCCGAAAUUAGCGAGAAGAAUGCCACCAUCAGUAGCUACCUUGAUAGAAUAGUCAACUUGACUGACAAUAUGGCAGAGAAGGAGGCUCGAGUAAGUGAAGUUGAGGCAGACUUGGCACGUUCUGUGGCCAACUGUGCUCGUCUUUCACAGGAGAAAGAACUUAUUGAGAGGCAUAAUACUUGGUUAAAUGAGGAGUUGACUGCCAAAGUUGACAGUCUCAUCAAGCUGCGCAGAACACAUGCUGAUCUUAAUGAAGAAAUGUCUGCUAAGCUUGCAGAUUCAGAGAGACAACUCAAUGAAUGCUCUAGCUCUUUAAAGUGGCAUAAAGAAAGGGUGAAAGAGUUGGAAUUGAAGUUAACAUCCCUGCAAGAGGAAUUAUGCUCAUGCAAAGAUGCUGCUGCUGCCAAUGAGGAGCGAUUUUCUGCUGAAAUCUCAACAAUAAAUAAGCUUGUUGAGUUAUAUAAAGAAAGCUCUGAGGAAUGGUCCCGGAAGGCAGGAGAACUUGAGGGUGUGAUCAAAGCUCUGGAAACUCAUUUAAGUCAAGUUGAAAAUGAUUACAAAGAGAGACUUGAAAAGGCAGUGUCUGAAAGAAAUCAGUUAGAGAAGGACGCAACAGAUUUGAAGAAUAAACUUGAAAAGUGUGAGGCUGAGGUUGAAAGUAGCAGGAAAGCUAAUGAGCUGAAUAUUCUUCCACUUAGUAGUUUGACCACUGAAAGAUGGAAGGAUCCAUAUAAUUGUAGUGACACUGUUGAUGAUAACAACACCCUUGUGCCUAGGAUUCCAGUUGGUGUUUCAGGAACUGCAUUAGCAGCUUCUCUGCUUCGUGAUGGUUGGAGUCUGGCUAAGAUGUACGCAAAAUACCAAGAAGCAGUUGAUGCUCUUCGUCAUGAGCAAUUGGGGAGGAAGGAGUCUGAAGCAAUCCUACAGCGGGUCCUAUGUGAGCUAGAGGAGAAGGCUGGAAUAAUUUUGGAUGAAAGAGCUGAAUAUGAUAGAAUGGCAGAAUCAUACUCAGUCAUCAACCAAAAGUUGCAGCAUUCAAUUUCUGAGCAGGCCAAUCUAGAGAAAACAAUCCAAGAACUAAAGGUGGAUUUGAGGAGGCAUGAACGUGAGAACUACUUGGCCCAGAAGGAGAUUGUGGAUCUUCAGAAACAGGUGACAGUCCUUCUUAAGGAGUGUCGUGAUAUACAACUUUGUUGUGGAUCUAGUGGGCAUGAUGAGGCUGACGACAGUAACACAAUUGUUGCUGUUGGGAUGGAUGUGGAGUCUGAUGCUGAAAAAGUAAUUUCAGAACGGCUUUUGACCUUCAAUGAUAUAAAUGGAUUAGUUGAGCAGAAUGUUCAGCUUAGAAGCCUCGUGCGCGACCUUUCUGACCAGAUUGAAAAUAAGGAGAUGGAGUUCAAGGAAAAGUUUGAAAUGGAGCUCAAAAAACACACUGAUGAAGCUGCCUGCAAAGUGGCUGUGGUGUUGCAAAGGGCUGAAGAGCAAGUGCAAAUGAUUGAAUCUCUUCAUACUUCUGUUGCUAUGUACAAAAGGCUAUAUGAAGAAGAACAUAAACUUCAUUCAUCUUAUUCCCGCUCUUCAGAUGCUCCUCCAGUGGCAGAUGAUGGAAGGAAAGACCUCUUACUUCUGCUUGAAGGCUCUCAGGAAUCUGCCAAAGUGGCCCAAGAAAAGGCUACUGAACGAUUGAGAUCUCUUGAAGGGGAAUUGACAAAAUCAAGGAGUGAAAUCAUAUCACUGCGAUCAGAACGUGACAAAAUGGAUCUCGAUGCAAAAUUCGCAAAAGAAAGACUUGACAGUUAUUUGAAAAAACAUGAGCAGCAGGAAAAUGAAAUGAUUAGCAUCAAAGCAAGGAAUGCUGAGUUGACACAGUUGAUAGUUGACUUCCAAAGAAAAUUAUUUGAACGUUCAGAAGCAUUGCAAGCCUCUGAGGAGCUUUCUCGGAAGUUAAAUAUGGAGGUAUCAGUUCUUAAGCAUGAAAAAGAGAUGUUGUCAAAUGCUGAGAAAAGGGCUUGUGAUGAAGUUGGGAGUUUGUCACAGAGAGUCUAUCGCCUACAGGCUAGUUUGGAUACUAUUCAUAGCGCACAGGAGGUUCGCGAGGAGGCAAGAGCUGCCGAGAGGAGAAAACAAGAGGAGUAUAUUAAACAAGUUGAGAGGGAAUGGGCUGAGGCCAAGAAAGAGUUGGAACUAGAGCGGAACCAUGUCAGAGCUCUCACAUCUGAUCGUGAGGAAACUUUGAAAAAUGCUAUGAGGCAAGUUGAGGAAAUGGGAAAGGAAUUGGCAAAUGCCUUGCAUGCUGUUUCGGCUGCUGAGACUAGGGCUGCUGUUGCUGAGGCCAAACUUUCUGAAGUGGAGAAAAAGAUCAAAACUUCAAAUGUUAAGGUUGCUAACGUGGAUGAUGGCAGCAUACCUUCUUCUAUUUCAACUACUGAGGUUGUUACGGAUUUGUUAAUGGCUAAGGAGGAGAUUGAAAAGUUGAAAGAGGAAGCACAGGCCAAUAAGGAGCACAUGCUACAGUAUAAGAGUAUAGCACAGGUAAAUGAAGCUGCACUAAAACAGAUGGAAGGUGCUCAUGAAAACUUUAAGCAUGAGUCAGAAAAGUUGAAGGAUUCAUUAGAAGCUGAACUUCGUUCACUUAGAGAGAGAAUAUCGGAGCUUGACAAUGAAUUGAAGUUAAAAUCUGAAGAGGUAGCCUCUGCAGCUUCUGGAAAAGAAGAUGCUCUUACUUCUGCAUUGACUGAAAUUGCUUGUCUGAAGGAAGAAAACUCAAGUAAAAUCUCUCAAAUUAUGGCUCUGGAAACUCAAGUUUCUGCUUUAAAAGAAGAUUUGGAGAAGGAACAUCAGCGAUGGCGAUCUGCUCAAGCCAAUUAUGAAAGACAGGUGGUCCUGCAAUCUGAGACAAUUCAUGAGUUGACAAAAGCAUCACAAGCUUUGGCCUCAGUACAACAGGAAGCUUCUGAUCUGCGUAAAUUGACAGAUGCUCAGAAAAGUGAAAAUAAUGAGCUGAAGGCUAGGAGGGAGGUAGAGAAAUCAUUGCUGGAGGAAUUAAAAAAAGAAGCUGAGGAAAAAUCUAAUGAACUCAAUGAACAGAACAAAAUAUUGCAUAAUCGACUUGAGGCCUUGCACAUUCAGUUGGCUGAGAAGGAUCGCAAUUAUGUGGGUAUUUCUUCUGGAAGCAUUGUUCUAGAUUCCCAUGGUGAUAGUGGGAUGCAAAGUGUGAUUAACUAUCUUAGGAGAUCAAAGGAAAUAGCAGAAACUGAGAUUUCUUUGUUAAAACAGGAAAAGCUUCGAUUGCAAUCACAACUUGAGAAUGCUUUAAAAGCUGCAGAAAAUGCCCAGGCUUCACUACAUGCUGAGCGUGCAAAUUCAAGGGCAUUAUUAUUAUCAGAAGAAGAGAUUAAAUCCCUUCAACUUAAGGUUAGAGAAAUGAAUUUGUUGCGUGAAAGCAACGUGCAGCUGAGAGAGGAAAACAAGCAUAAUUUUGAAGAAUGCCUGAAAUUGCGUGAAGUAGCUCAGAAGGCUAAGGCUCAUUCUGACAAUCUAGAAUCUCUGCUGAGGGAAAGACAAAUUGAGGUAGAAGCUUGCAAGAAGGAAAUUGAAUUGGAAAGAAUGCAGAAAGGUCACCUGGAAAAGAGAGUUUCUGAGGUACUUGAGAGGUGUAGAAAUGUUGAUGUGGAAGAUUAUGAUCGAAUGAAGGAUGGCUUACAGCAAAUGCAGGAAAAAGUGAAAGAGAAAGAAUCUGAGAUUGAGGAAAUCAAUAACCUUUUAUCCAAACAGCAGGAGACUAUAUCGAAAUUGGAGCAAGACCUUGCAAAGAGUGAAUUAGAACUGAGUCAGAGGGAGCAAAAGAUAAAUGAUGUUUUGCUAAACGAGGCUAGUCUGAAAUCAGAGUUGGAGAAGCAGAGGAAGUUGGCAGUUCAGUGGAAGAAAAAGUUUGAAAAUUCAUUCAAGGAAAAGGAAGACUUCAGCAAGGAAAAACAAGCACUUUCCAAACAGAUCGAGGAGCUGAAACAAGGUAAAAGAUCCAUGGGAAUUGUCAGUGGUGAGCAGGUCAUGAAGGAAAAGGAGGAGAAGGAACACAGAAUACAGAUUCUGGAGAAAACUGUGGAGAGGCAGAGAGAGGAAUUGAGAAAGGAGAAGGAGGAUAAUCGGAUGGAAAAAGCAAAGCGUCUGACCACAGAGAAGGCCAUUAUGGAUAAAGUUAAAAAUGUUGAACAGGAAAAGACAGAGUUCACAAAUAAACUGGAGAGACAUAAGGAGGCUUUGAGGCGACUUUCUGAAGAACUAGAAAAGCUUAAGCAUGCUGAAACCAAUCUUCCAGAGGGUACCUCAGUGGUUCAGAUUCUUUCUGGGACAAUCCUAGAUGAUCUUUGUGCUGCUUAUGUAUUGGCUGUUGAAAAUUUUGAGAGGACUGCAACUUCUGUUUCUAUUGAGCUUGGAGCUAGUGCUGCUUCUUUAGACGCUUCUAUGCCUGACGCACCAGUUGCAGUUUUUGCAGGUCAGUCUGUUUCUUCUCACUCUGCCAUAAGUUCUUCAGUGGGCCCAAUAACAAGUUCCAUAGCCGCUAAGGCAGCAGACGACAAGGAGCGGCGAAUUCCAGUAUCCAAAACCAAUAUUGAAACUCGAAAAACAGGUAGGAAAUUGGUAAGGCCCCGGCUUGUUAAACCUGAUGAGCCUCAGGGUGAUGUAGAGAUGUCAGAUGUGGAUGGAUCCAACACACAAGGGAAGGUUGCUUCGUCUCAUGAAUCUGAAACUCAGCGCAAUCUUACCUCAUUGUCACAACCAUCAGCUCGCAAACGCCUAGCUUCAUCUGCUUCUGAGUUGAGUGAACAGCCCCUUGAUCAAGGGGAGACCAAUUCUGAUGCAGGAGCACCUGUGGUAAAGAAACCCAAAGGUUCUGAUUCUUCACAUGAGGGUACUGAAGGUCAAUCUGUUGCUCCUUCAGAAACUAUGGUGAUCCCAUCAGCAGUUGAGGAAGCAUCAAAUGCUGUUGGUGAUGUAACUCAAGGUUCAAAUGAGGAAGUUAUUGCUGAGAAGGACGAGGCUGAGACUGGUGGAGAGAAAAGUGAGCUGCCAAAAGACUCGGAGCAAAUAGAUGAUCCCAUUGAACCACAGAAUGAGAAGAUUAAUGUUGGAGAAGAGAGUGUCGACAAAACUAAUGGAAUUGGAGGAGAGUUUGAUGGCAAUUCAAAGGAUCAGGCUGUGGAAGAUAACCAGCAAUCUAUUGUGGAGUUUGAGAGUGAAAAGGAAGAGGGAGAACUAGUGCCUGAUGAUGCAGAAGCUGAGGAAGGCGCUGAUACGUCUAACAUAAUGGGGAGUCCAGAAAUUGGGGAGGUACCUGAGGUUGGCACUACUCCUGUUGCUUCACCAGCAAGGAUUGAGGAUGAAGCUGUAGUUGCUGGAGGAGUUGAGUUGGGUGAGAUGAAUUCUCCUGAGGCUUUUAAUGAGGAGAAGAAUGAUGAAGGUGAUGUGGCUGAGGAGACUAUUGAAGGUUCUGACAAGUCAAAUGAUGGUAAUGAUCAGAUUGCAGGGGAGAGUGAUCAGAUUCCUGAAACUGCUUCAGUAACUGUUGAGAGUACAACAGCCACUGUGAAUGCAGAAGCUGCUGAUGUCUCAAAACAAGUAACAGAGACUGGAGAGGUUAAACAAGUAUCGCCUGCAAGUAAUUCCUCAACUGUUGUGAAUUUAGCGGAGAGAGCGAAGGAAAGGGCUAUGCUUAGACAAUCUGGAACUGCAGUGCUUUCUCCUCCAGGCAGUAGAGGCCGUGGACGAGCAGUACGUGGUCGAGCUGUACGUGGUGCACGUGGUGGACGAACUGGACGUGGGCAUACUCCCGGUCAACAGGGAUGAGUGUUGUUAAUACAAACCGUGUUGAUGACCCUUGUUUUAAGAAAACAUUUUUGCUCUGGAGAAGUUUGUACUUCAUAUGCAUUAUUAAAUUUGUCUAUGGAUAGAAAUGAAAAAUUUACAGGAAGCAGUGUCAUUUUGUUAUCAAUAACCUCUUCCUUCCUAUCUUUCAAUGUUUUUCUAGCUGAUAGAUAAAAAUAAGUAGCUGCCAGUGGAAAUAAUACCAACCCCAUGCUACUGAUCUCAGAUUGUGAUUGUAAUUUUCCUUUUCGCUAUAUAUUAUUCAAUUUCGAUUCAGCAUUAACUCUUUGCAUUUACAUAGGGAAUAAGUGUCGAAUCAUUGAGGUGUA
Molecule: unclassified non-coding RNA, 6688 nt
Filed under: Hevea brasiliensis (rubber tree)
Lineage: Eukaryota; Viridiplantae; Streptophyta; Magnoliopsida; Malpighiales; Euphorbiaceae
Source: RNAcentral